CCUACGGGGCGCAGCAGUGGGGGAUAUUGCACAAUGGGGGGAACCCUGAUGCAGCGACGCCGCGUGGGUGAAGAAGCGCCUCGGCGCGUAAAGCCCUGUCAGCAGGGAAGAAAAUGACGGUACCUGAAGAAGAAGCCCCGGCUAACUACGUGCCAGCAGCCGCGGUAAUACGUAGGGGGCAAGCGUUAUCCGGAUUUACUGGGUGGAAAGGGGGCGCAGACGGCGAUGCAAGCCAGGAGUGAAAGCCCGGGGCCCAACCCCGGGACUGCUCUUGGAACUGCGUGGCUGGAGUGCAGGAGGGGGAGGCGGAAUUCCUGGUGUAGCGGUGAAAUGCGUAGAUAUCAGGAGGAACACCGGUGGCGAAGGCGGCCUGCUGGACUGCAACUGACGUUGAGGCCCGAAAGCGUGGGGAGCAAACAGGAUUAGAUACCCCGGUAGUC
RNAcentral lists this ribosomal RNA (440 nucleotides) under uncultured bacterium. Its description in RNAcentral is "partial 16S ribosomal RNA". It matches the Rfam family "Bacterial small subunit ribosomal RNA", at positions 338 to 795 of the family's 1533-position model. The record is from RNAcentral.